UACGGAGGGUGCGAGCGUUAAUCGGAAUUACUGGGCGUAAAGCGCACGCAGGCGGUUUGUUAAGCUAGAUGUGAAAGCCCCGGGCUCAACCUGGGAUGGUCAUUUAGAACUGGCAGACUAGGGUCUUGGAGAGGGGAGUGGAAUUCCAGGUGUAGCGGUGAAAUGCGUAGAUAUCUGGAGGAACAUCAGUGGCGAAGGCGACUCCCUGGCCAAAGACUGACGCUCAUGUGCGAAAGUGUGUGUAGCGAACAGG
RNAcentral lists this ribosomal RNA (253 nucleotides) under uncultured bacterium. RNAcentral describes it as "partial 16S ribosomal RNA". It matches the Rfam family "Bacterial small subunit ribosomal RNA", at positions 524 to 776 of the family's 1533-position model. The record is from RNAcentral.